Molecule: non-coding RNA, 73 nt
Organism: Suncus etruscus (white-toothed pygmy shrew)
Lineage: Eukaryota; Metazoa; Chordata; Mammalia; Eulipotyphla; Soricidae
Source: the annotation of a RefSeq genome assembly
GUCCUCUUAGCACAGCAGACAGUGCAUCAGUUUCAUAAUCUGAAGGUCCUGAGUUUGAGCCUCAGAGAGGGCA